CAGCCGCCGCGGUAACACGUAGGGUGCGAGCGUUAAUCGGAAUUACUGGGCGUAAAGCGUGCGCAGGCGGUUGUGUAAGACAGGUGUGAAAUCCCCGGGCUUAACCUGGGAACUGCGCUUGUGACUGCACAGCUAGAGUAUGGCAGAGGGGGGUGGAAUUCCACGUGUAGCAGUGAAAUGCGUAGAGAUGUGGAGGAACACCGAUGGCGAAGGCAGCCCCCUGGGCCAAUACUGACGCUCAUGCACGAAAGCGUGGGGAGCAAACAGGAUUAGAUACCCCAGUAGUCCCUGUCUCUUAUAA
Molecule: ribosomal RNA, 301 nt
Filed under: uncultured bacterium
Lineage: Bacteria
Description: partial 16S ribosomal RNA
Rfam family: Bacterial small subunit ribosomal RNA
Source: RNAcentral